This 447-nucleotide ribosomal RNA is filed under the name uncultured bacterium. Its description in RNAcentral is "bacterial SSU rRNA". It matches the Rfam family "Bacterial small subunit ribosomal RNA", at positions 328 to 792 of the family's 1533-position model. The record is from RNAcentral.
GCUCCAGACUCCUACGGGAGGCAGCAGUGGGGGAUAUUGGGCAAUGGGGGGAACCCUGAUCCAGCGACGCCGCGUGAGUGAAGAAGUAUUUCGGUAUGUAAAGCUCUAUCAGCAGGGAAGAAAAUGACGGUACCUGACUAAGAAGCCCCGGCUAACUACGUGCCAGCAGCCGCGGUAAUACGUAGGGGGCAAGCGUUAUCCGGAUUUACUGGGUGUAAAGGGAGCGUAGACGGUUAUGUAAGUCUGGAGUGAAAGCCCGGGGCCCAACCCUGGGACUGCUUUGGAAACUGUGUAACUGGAGUACAGGAGGGGCAGGCGGAAUUCCUGGUGUAGCGGUGAAAUGCGUAGAUAUCAGGAGGAACACCGGCGGCGAAGGCGGCCUGCUGGGCUUUUACUGACGCUGAGGCUCGAAAGCGUGGGGAGCAAACAGGAUUAGAUACCCUAGUA